This 409-nucleotide ribosomal RNA is filed under the name Thermoleophilia bacterium. Its description in RNAcentral is "bacterial SSU rRNA". It matches the Rfam family "Bacterial small subunit ribosomal RNA", at positions 1 to 403 of the family's 1533-position model. The record is from RNAcentral. Lineage: Bacteria; Bacillati; Actinomycetota; Thermoleophilia.
UUCACGGAGAGUUUGAUCCUGGCUCAGGACGAACGCUGGCGGCGCGCUUAACACAUGCAAGUCGAGCGAGAACCGGGGCUUCGGCCCCGGGGACAGCGGCGAACGGGUGAGUAACACGUGAGUAACCUGCCCUCGGCACCGGAAUAGCCCGGGGAAACCCGGAUUAAUGCCGGAUGGCCCCCCUGUCCUGCGGGACGGUGGGAAAAGGUAGCUUCGGCCUCCGGCCGAGGAUGGGCUCGCGGCGGAUUAGCUUGUUGGCGGGGUAACGGCCCACCAAGGCGACGAUCCGUAGCUGGUCUGAGAGGACGAUCAGCCACACUGGGACUGAGACACGGCCCAGACUCCUACGGGAGGCAGCAGUGGGGAAUCUUGCGCAAUGGGCGAAAGCCUGACGCAGCGACGCCGCGUG